UGACUGGGAUAGCAUGCGAGUCACGCCGAAAGGCGUGGCUACGGCUCAGUAACACGUAGUCAACAUGCCCAAAGGACGUGGAUAACCUCGGGAAACUGAGGAUAAACCGCGAUAGGCCAAGGUUUCUGGAAUGAGCCAUGGCCGAAAUCUACAUGGCCUUUGGAUUGGACUGCGGCCGAUCAGGCUGUUGGUGAGGUAAUGGCCCACCAAACCUGUAACCGGUACGGGCUUUGAGAGAAGGAGCCCGGAGAUGGGCACUGAGACAAGGGCCCAGGCCCUAUGGGGCGCAGCAGGCGCGAAACCUCUGCAAUAGGCGAAAGCCUGACAGGGUUACUCUGAGUGAUGCCCGCUAAGGGUAUCUUUUGGCACCUCUAAAAAUGGUGCAGAAUAAGGGGUGGGCAAGUCUGGUGUCAGCCGCCGCGGUAAUACCAGCACCCCGAGUUGUCGGGACGAUUAUUGGGCCUAAAGCAUCCGUAGCCUGUUCUGCAAGUCCUCCGUUAAAUCCACCUGCUCAACGGAUGGGCUGCGGAGGAUACCGCAGAGCUAGGAGGCGGGAGAGGCAAACGGUACUCAGUGGGUAGGGGUAAAAUCCAUUGAUCUACUGAAGACCACCAGUGGCGAAGGCGGUUUGCCAGAACGCGCUCGACGGUGAGGGAUGAAAGCUGGGGGAGCANACCGGAUUAGAUACCCGGGUAGUCCCAGCUGUAAACGAUGCAAACUCGGUGAUGGGUUGGCCUCCAACCAACCCAGUGCCGCAGGGAACCCGUUAGCCCUGCGCCUGGGGAGUACGGUCGCAAGACUGAAACUUAAGGAAUUGGCGGGGAAACCCCCAAGGGGUUAAAGCCUCGGUUUCAUUGGAGUCCACGCCGGAAAUCUUACCGGGGGGCCACGCCAAAGUAU
RNAcentral lists this ribosomal RNA (900 nucleotides) under uncultured archaeon. Its description in RNAcentral is "bacterial SSU rRNA". It matches the Rfam family "Archaeal small subunit ribosomal RNA", at positions 35 to 951 of the family's 1478-position model. The record is from RNAcentral.